UGGAAUUGAGAAACCUGAACUGGUGUAUUCAGUAGCAAAAAAUUUGUAAAGGGACGUUCAUAAGAAGAAAAAUAUGUGAUUAGGAAUUUGUCUCUCCUUGUCUGUAUUUUUUUUGUAGGCCUGUUAGCAGUAUUGCAUCCUUUCUUUCCUUUUCUUUUACAUCUUUUACUAUCACAGCCAUUGGAUUGCACAGACUAGCAUCCAAUGGACAAACAAUGUUGGACUUGCUAAGGGUCCCCAAGAGUUCCCAUUGUAUAUCUAGUGAUUAUGAUUUUUCUAGGGCUGCAAAUUCUGCACAAACUGGAGUUAUAUUGAAUAUAUUAUAUUGUAAAU
Molecule: long non-coding RNA, 333 nt
Filed under: Elaeis guineensis (African oil palm)
Lineage: Eukaryota; Viridiplantae; Streptophyta; Magnoliopsida; Arecales; Arecaceae
Description: long non-coding RNA (EGUI_LNC028876)
Source: RNAcentral